RNAcentral lists this ribosomal RNA (548 nucleotides) under Arhaphe deviatica. RNAcentral's name for it is "partial 16S ribosomal RNA". It matches the Rfam family "Bacterial large subunit ribosomal RNA", at positions 1806 to 2622 of the family's 2925-position model. Lineage: Eukaryota; Metazoa; Arthropoda; Insecta; Hemiptera; Largidae. The record is from RNAcentral.
AUCAAAAACAUGUCUUGUUGAUUUAAUAAUAUUAAGUCUAACCUGCUCAAUGAAUUAUUUUAAUAGCCAUAGUAUUUUAACUAUGCAAAGGUAGCAUAAUAAUUUGUCUUUUAAUUGAAGGCUAGAAUGAAUGGUUGGAUGAGGGAUAAACUUUCUUGAUUUAAUUAUAUUGAAUUUAAUUUUUAAGUAAAAAAGCUUAAUUUUUGUUGUGGGACGAGAAGACCCUAUAGAAUUUUAUUUUUAUUUAUGAUUUUAUUUUUUGAUAUUAAUUAUGUAAAGUCGUAAUUAGGAAUUUGGUUGGGGUGACUGUAGAAUUUAAUUAACUUCUAUUAUUGUUUUUCAUUAAUUAUUGUUUAAUUGAUCCUUUAUUAUGGAUUAUAAGAUUAAAUUACCUUAGGGAUAACAGCGUAAUUUCUUUGGAGAGUUCUUAUUGAUAAAGAAGUUUGCGACCUCGAUGUUGGAUUAAAGUUAAUUAUUGGUGCAGGAGCUAAGGUAAUUAGGUCUGUUCGACCUUUAAAUCUUUACAUGAUCUGAGUUCAAACCGGAGA